RNAcentral lists this long non-coding RNA (232 nucleotides) under Gossypium raimondii (Peruvian cotton). RNAcentral's name for it is "long non-coding RNA (GRAI_LNC009800)". The record is from RNAcentral. Lineage: Eukaryota; Viridiplantae; Streptophyta; Magnoliopsida; Malvales; Malvaceae.
CAAAAACCUUAAACUCAAACACUAAAAACUAGACCCCGAACGAUAAACUAUAAACCCUAAACUUAACAAUAAACCAUAAAUAUAAACCAUAAACCCUAAAUCCUAAAAACUAAACCUUAAACACUAAACCCUAAUCACAAAUAAUAAACUAUACACAUAACUUUAAAACCAUAAUCCCUAAAACCUUAAAUCCUAAAACCUUAAACCCUAAACCCUAAACCCUAAAACCUAA